RNAcentral lists this ribosomal RNA (344 nucleotides) under uncultured soil bacterium. Its description in RNAcentral is "bacterial SSU rRNA". It matches the Rfam family "Bacterial small subunit ribosomal RNA", at positions 26 to 364 of the family's 1533-position model. The record is from RNAcentral.
AGAGUGAACGCUGGCGGUAGGCCUAACACAUGCAAGUCGAACGGCAGCACAGUGGUAGCAAUACCAUGGGUGGCGAGUGGCGGACGGGUGAGGAAUACAUCGGAAUCUACCUUUUCGUGGGGGAUAACGUAGGGAAACUUACGCUAAUACCGCAUACGCCCUUCGGGGGAAAGCCGGGGAUCGCAAGACCUGGCGCGGAUAGAUGAGCCGAUGUCGGAUUAGCUAGUUGGUGAGGUAAUGGCUCACCAAGGCGACGAUCCGUAGCUGGUCUGAGAGGAUGAUCAGCCACACUGGAACUGAGACACGGUCCAGACCUCCGUACGGGAGCAGCGAGUGGGGAAUAG